Molecule: ribosomal RNA, 253 nt
Filed under: uncultured bacterium
Lineage: Bacteria
Also listed under: 1 other name
Description: partial 16S ribosomal RNA
Rfam family: Bacterial small subunit ribosomal RNA
Source: RNAcentral
UACGGAGGGAGCUAGCGUUGUUCGGAAUUACUGGGCGUAAAGCGUACGUAGGCGGUUACUCAAGUCAGAGGUGAAAGCCCGGGGCUCAACCCCGGAACUGCCUUUGAAACUAGGUAGCUAGAAUCUUGGAGAGGUCAGUGGAAUUCCGAGUGUAGAGGUGAAAUUCGUAGAUAUUCGGAAGAACACCAGUGGCGAAGGCGACUGACUGGACAAGUAUUGACGCUGAGGUACGAAAGCGUGGGGAGCAAACAGG